This 497-nucleotide ribosomal RNA is filed under the name uncultured bacterium. RNAcentral describes it as "partial 16S ribosomal RNA". It matches the Rfam family "Bacterial small subunit ribosomal RNA", at positions 28 to 507 of the family's 1533-position model. The record is from RNAcentral.
GAUGAACGCUGGCGGCGUGCCUAAUACAUGCAAGUCGAGCGAACGGACGAGAAGCUUGCUUCUCUGAUGUUAGCGGCGGACGGGUGAGUAACACGUGGAUAACCUACCUAUAAGACUGGGAUAACUUCGGGAAACCGGAGCUAAUACCGGAUAAUAUUUUGAACCGCAUGGUUCAAUAGUGAAAGACGGUUUUGCUGUCACUUAUAGAUGGAUCCGCGCCGCAUUAGCUAGUUGGUAAGGUAACGGCUUACCAAGGCGACGAUGCGUAGCCGACCUGAGAGGGUGAUCGGCCACACUGGAACUGAGACACGGUCCAGACUCCUACGGGAGGCAGCAGUAGGGAAUCUUCCGCAAUGGGCGAAAGCCUGACGGAGCAACGCCGCGUGAGUGAUGAAGGUCUUCGGAUCGUAAAACUCUGUUAUUAGGGAAGAACAUAUGUGUAAGUAACUGUGCACGUCUUGACGGUACCUAAUCAGAAAGCCACGGCUAACUACGUG